GCCACCAUGGUGUAUUGGUUUGAGUGUUGGACUACAACUCUGGAGACCAGGGUUCGAUUCCCUGCUCGGCCA
This 72-nucleotide transfer RNA is filed under the name Phrynosoma platyrhinos (Desert horned lizard). RNAcentral's name for it is "tRNA-OTHER". The record is from RNAcentral. Lineage: Eukaryota; Metazoa; Chordata; Lepidosauria; Squamata; Phrynosomatidae.